GCCGCCAUAUAUAAACGGUCGCCGGGGCGGGCGGCCGCCAUUCUGGGCUUCGUGUAGAGGUGUGAAUUUCUUCGGAGGAGAGCGAGAGCCCGCCCGUAAGGAGAAGCGAGCAGCCGCAACAAGAAGAGCAGCCACGCCCUUAACCUAAGGAUCCUGAGCGGGGGGGAAAGCAGCACCCACCAACCCAACCACUUGUAUCUUCUUCCAACUCCCCCCCCCCCCCUUCCUUCCCCCACGAGCCCACGCUGCUUGGGACCCCAAUCUGUGGCCGAAGGACCAGCACCACAAAAACCUCUCAAAUACUCUUAUCACCAACCAACUUUUCCUCAGAAAAACCCCCCAAGUCCUCCCAUCCAGCGUCCGAUCUAUUUUUGUUUUUCCUCGUUCCCCCCCACCCCCAUCGAAGUGGGGUGGGGAGAGGGAGAGAUGAAUCCUGAAUUGGCUCUAUUUUUCAAGAGACUUUUUGAGCCACGAGUCCCCCUCAAGUAAUUUGAGCUUGGGGUUCUGGUUGGUUUUUCUGGGGUUUUUUUCUUUUUUUCCCUCAAAUCCUAACCCCCCCCCCCACAACCCUGAUCCCGAGGUGCUGACGUCGCAAAAAAAUUGGAUAGUAAGUGUCGAAUUUUCCAAACAAAGAGAUCCUCCUUUCCCAUUGUGAAACCAAAAACGUAAUGAGAGGAAGAAAUGCGAUCUUAGACCAAAAAAAAGUUGGCAGAGCCGACUGAUCGGGUCCUUUAAAGUCUCCUGGGGAGAAAAACCAAAAAUAAGGCGGGUCUUGUUUCUUCCCUGCCUCGGUACUGGCUUGGAGAGGGUCGGGGGUUUUUACAGUGAGGUUCUUUACGGUUAACCCUUGGAAAUACAGCCAAUUUUCCAAACUGCCAUGACCUAGGAGUGCGAGCUCUUUUGAUAAGGAGGAACGGGUCGCCUUACUCCGGAUCCCAGCAGUCUUUUUGAAGGGGUUAAUGAGCUCACAUACAAAAGAUGGUGGAUCUUGAGGCAUAAAGUCCCACUUUGUGUGUGAGACAAAUGGGCGCCUUUGACAGAUACAUGAGCAAUCUGUACAUAAAGAUUGCAGGGUAAGGAGAUAAGCAGAGAAAUGUCCAAGAGCGUAGGCCAUUAUGGCUUAAGAAGAAAAAAAAUUGCUCAAAAUAUUUCUUUGGAUUCGGGUGUAUACUGCUUUGAUGUCUAUAUUUGUGUGUUUGGCAUUGGUGGCAAACUAGGAAUAAAGAUUGCAAGACAAGCCGGCAUAAAACGGCUAGCACAAAAAUGGAUAGGUAGAAAGGUAAAGAACGCCUUGUAAUUAUUGCAGUUUUAGGAGCAAAAAUUGGUGAUGACAAUUCGAUUUUUUUAGCCGAGGGUGGGGGAGAAUAGCAGGGUUGUAAAGUGAAGAAAACUGACCUGGGGGAGUAAUUUAUUUGAACGGCCAUUUAGUAACAUUGAAUGCUAGAUUUCUAAAGUGUCAUUUAAAGGAAAAUUUCUUUAAA
Molecule: long non-coding RNA, 1481 nt
Organism: Ornithorhynchus anatinus (platypus)
Lineage: Eukaryota; Metazoa; Chordata; Mammalia; Monotremata; Ornithorhynchidae
Exons: 2
Source: RefSeq, a predicted model, not a curated record